ACCACAUUCCUUCCAUCCGCAUCUCCUAGCAAGAACACUGAAACAUUCCUACUUCUAGACUCCAGGGGCUGAGUAUCUGUCCUUUUAUGAACCUGCUCUCCAGUCCUUCCUGUUGAUUCUAUGAGCUUCCUGAUGGGUAACAGCCUGGAAACUCAAGCAGGGUAUCUAUGUCAGAAUCUGGAGGAGAAUUCCUUCCUCUUUGAGAAACCUUAGUCUACUCCCAAGGACUUCAAAGGACUGGAUGAGGCCCACCCACAUUAUGGAAGAUCCUAAGCUAGGUCCCAGAGUUACAGCCAUGAGCAAACAACACAGUCCCAGGAUCAUGAAAGCCAC
This is a long non-coding RNA of Mustela erminea (ermine), 333 nucleotides long. RefSeq lists it as uncharacterized. The record is from RefSeq and is a predicted model, not a curated record. NCBI's taxonomy places the organism in Eukaryota, Metazoa, Chordata, Mammalia, Carnivora, Mustelidae. The transcript is spliced from 3 exons.